GUUCUUCUAUUUUAAAUAUUUUGCAUUUAUAUUUUAUUGUACUAGAUAUUCUUCAACUUUAUUUAUCAGGUGCUCAGAUUUCAUGUCUUGAGAGAGAGAUACUAAGGAAAGCAAAGCAAUUAAAAAUCUGAAAGCUUCUCAGAAGAGCUGGUAAAAACAGCUAUUUUGCUCUUUGCUGUGCUAUACUGAUAUCAAUCAGAAUUUUAUAUUGUUGGACUAGGAAACAGAUCACAAAUUUCUGCAGAGAUUACAGGAUCCAUUUUCAUGAGAAGUACAUUUCCACUCUCUUAUUUCUUUGAAGUAUCUCAUGUCGCCCACUUCCAAAAAGGUAACUUGUAUGAUUCCAGCUCUACAAUACAUCGUUUUCAAGGGCGCGAGCUUUACAACUGUGAAUCAUAAGGUGCAUUUAUACUGGUACACAUUUCACCAAGUGAUAGGACAAGGACAAAUAGCCUCAAGUUGCACCAGGGGAAGUUUAGGUAGGAUAUUAGGAGAAAUUUCUUUACUGAAAAUGUUGUAUGGCAUUGGAAUAGGCCAUCCAGGGAAGUGAUUGAGUCACUAUCCCUGUGGGUCUUCAAGAAAGGUGUAGAUUUGAAACUUAGUAGCAUGGUUUAGUGGUGGACUUCAGUACUAGGUUAAAGGUUGGACUAGAUGAUCUUGCAGUUCUUUUCCAACCUGAAUGAUUCAAUGAUUCUAUGAUUUUUUUUCUCCUGCCUCCUUUUUGUAUUGCAAAUUUUUUUUGCAUAUGUGUAUACAUAUAAAUUGGGCCUGUGUGUCUGCUUUCUCUCAAUCUGUGUUCACAUCUUCUUAUUUCGAGAUCUCUUUUCUUUUUGCUCAACCUUAAUAGUUUUUAGCUGGUACUCCUUGGUAAUCCUGAACCAAGAUUGCUUUAGAAUUCUCUGCAAUAUUUGACCCACAGAAAAUAUGAAUUAUUUUACAUUAAAAUAUAUUCUUGUCCCCGAGAUCUCUGGGAAAUCUUUUAGCAUCAGAAAUGUAUUUACUAUAGUCAGUAAGUAAGAAUUUGUUCUGAACUGAGGAAUUCAGGAAGAAGACUACAUUUUGCAGCAGAGUUAUGUCUUCAUUCAAUUGUUUGUAUCCCUGUGUCUAGUCUCUAUGUACAAGUUGUUCAUUUUAUUUGUGGCUUGCUUGACUGACUAUACAUUGAUUUCUGAAAUGUUAAGACUUUCAGAGUAUGAAGUCUGAAUAUAUCACUCUGCAGCUUGAAGGUAGUUCUUAAACACUGUAGUGGGUUUACGUGGCAAGGUUUUGGUAGCAGGGGGCCAUAGGGGUGUCUUCUGUGAGAAGGAUCUAGAAGAUGCCCCAUGUUAGGUAAGGGCCCCACUGCUGACCAGAGCCGAGCCAAUAAGUGACGUUGUUUUGUGCCUCUGUGAGAGCAUAUUUAAGACAGGAAAAAAAACGCUGCACCACACAGCAGCUGGGAGAGUGAGAGGAGUGAGGAACAGCCUUGCAGGUGCCAAGGUCAGUGAAGAAAGAGGAGGAGAGGUGCUCCAGGCGCCGGAGCAGAAGUCCCC
Molecule: long non-coding RNA, 1532 nt
Filed under: Anser brachyrhynchus (Pink-footed goose)
Lineage: Eukaryota; Metazoa; Chordata; Aves; Anseriformes; Anatidae
Description: lncRNA (ENSABRG00000016565.1)
Source: RNAcentral